AUUGAACGCUGGCGGCAGGCUUAACACAUGCAAGUCGAGCGGGGUGAUGGUGCUUGCACUAUCACUUAGCGGCGGACGGGUGAGUAAUGCUUAGGAAUCUGCCUAUUAGUGGGGGACAACAUCUCGACAGGGAUGCUAAUACCGCAUACGUCCUACGGGAGAAAGCAGGGGAUCACUUGUGACCUUGCGCUAAUAGAUGAGCCUAAGUCGGAUUAGCUAGUUGGUGGGGUAAAGGCCUACCAAGGCGACGAUCUGUAGCGGGUCUGAGAGGAUGAUCCGCCACACUGGGACUGAGACACGGCCCAGACUCCUACGGGAGGCAGCAGUGGGGAAUAUUGGACAAUGGGGGGAACCCUGAUCCAGCCAUGCCGCGUGUGUGAAGAAGGCCUUAUGGUUGUAAAGCACUUUAAGCGAGGAGGAGGCUCUUUUGGUUAAUACCCAAGAUGAGUGGACGUUACUCGCAGAAUAAGCACCAGCUAACUCUGUGCCAGCCGCCGCUGUAA
RNAcentral lists this ribosomal RNA (503 nucleotides) under uncultured bacterium. RNAcentral describes it as "partial 16S ribosomal RNA". It matches the Rfam family "Bacterial small subunit ribosomal RNA", at positions 30 to 523 of the family's 1533-position model. The record is from RNAcentral.